GGGGCUGGGGCUCAGUGGUAGAGCGCUCGACUAGCAUGUGUGAGGUCCUGGGUCCGAUCCUCAGCACCCCA
RNAcentral lists this transfer RNA (71 nucleotides) under Ictidomys tridecemlineatus (thirteen-lined ground squirrel). Its description in RNAcentral is "Spermophilus tridecemlineatus (thirteen-lined ground squirrel) tRNA". It matches the Rfam family "tRNA". Rfam says of the family: Transfer RNA (tRNA) molecules are approximately 80 nucleotides in length. Their secondary structure includes four short double-helical elements and three loops (D, anti-codon, and T loops). Further hydrogen bonds mediate the characteristic L-shaped molecular structure. tRNAs have two regions of fundamental functional importance: the anti-codon, which is responsible for specific mRNA codon recognition, and the 3' end, to which the tRNAs corresponding amino acid is attached (by aminoacyl-tRNA synthetases). tRNAs cope with the degeneracy of the genetic code in two manners: having more than one tRNA (with a specific anti-codon) for a particular amino acid; and 'wobble' base-pairing, i.e. permitting non-standard base-pairing at the 3rd anti-codon position. Lineage: Eukaryota; Metazoa; Chordata; Mammalia; Rodentia; Sciuridae. The record is from Rfam by way of RNAcentral.